RNAcentral lists this ribosomal RNA (675 nucleotides) under uncultured Lachnospiraceae bacterium. Its description in RNAcentral is "bacterial SSU rRNA". It matches the Rfam family "Bacterial small subunit ribosomal RNA", at positions 777 to 1451 of the family's 1533-position model. The record is from RNAcentral. Lineage: Bacteria; Bacillati; Bacillota; Clostridia; Lachnospirales; Lachnospiraceae.
AUUAGAUACCCUGGUAGUCCACGCUGUAAACGAUGAAUACUAGGUGUCGGGUGGCAAAGCCAUUCGGUGCCGCAGCUAACGCAAUAAGUAUUCCACCUGGGGAGUACGUUCGCAAGAAUGAAACUCAAAGGAAUUGACGGGGACCCGCACAAGCGGUGGAGCAUGUGGUUUAAUUCGACGCAACGCGAAGAACCUUACCAAGUCUUGACAUCCUUUUGACCGGUCGGUAAUGCGACCUUCUCUUCGGAGCAAAAGUGACAGGUGGUGCAUGGUUGUCGUCAGCUCGUGUCGUGAGAUGUUGGGUUAAGUCCCGCAACGAGCGCAACCCUUAUCUUUAGUAGCCAGCAUUUCGGAUGGGAACUCUAGAGAGACUGCCAGGGAUAACCUGGAGGAAGGUGGGGAUGACGUCAAAUCAUCAUGCCCCUUAUGACUUGGGCUACACACGUGCUACAAUGGCGUAAACAAAGGGACGCAAUACCGCGAGGUUGAGCAAAUCCCAAAAAUAACGUCUCAGUUCGGAUUGUAGUCUGCAACUCGACUACAUGAAGCUGGAAUCGCUAGUAAUCGCAAAUCAGAAUGUUGCGGUGAAUACGUUCCCGGGUCUUGUACACACCGCCCGUCAGACCAUGGGAGUUGGGAAUGCCCGAAGCCCAGUGACCUAACCGUAAGGAAGGA